AUCCCAUGACGAGGACAAGUUAAGAUAUAGUCCUAAAGACAUUCCCAGGCUUUUGCGACUGAUUCUGCUAGAAACUUGAGAUAUGGUUCCGAAGGGC
Molecule: small nucleolar RNA, 97 nt
Filed under: Dichanthelium oligosanthes
Lineage: Eukaryota; Viridiplantae; Streptophyta; Magnoliopsida; Poales; Poaceae
Description: Plant small nucleolar RNA R71
Rfam family: Plant small nucleolar RNA R71
About the family: R71 is a member of the C/D box family of snoRNAs containing the C (UGAUGA) and D (CUGA) box motifs.
Source: Rfam by way of RNAcentral